Equus asinus (donkey) is the source of this 3027-nucleotide long non-coding RNA. The record is from Ensembl. Lineage: Eukaryota; Metazoa; Chordata; Mammalia; Perissodactyla; Equidae.
UUUUUUUCUUUUUUCAAUAGGAAAGCCUUGGGUAUUGGUGAGAAGCAUGUUAAAGAAUGUAGCGUAACCAUCUUGUCGUCUCACCAGGUUGAUAGCUUUUGAAGGAAACAGCAUUUCUAAACCAUACCUGUAGCUAUUUUGAAGUCCCCUUAGUUGUCAGGGACCCGGAGCUCUUUACAGGCAUCUGCCAGGGGUGAAGCAGCCGUUUCCUGGUGAGCUUUCAGACUCAUGUGGUCUGCUGUGUGAUUUGUUUAUUUUCUUUUGCUCUCACACUCCUUCCCUGACUCUGCCUUUCCGUAUGUUUGGGGAAGAUUUGGAUUUUAUUUUGUAGUAGUCUUGAGAGAAUUUAGUUGCUAGUUCUGGGCAGCAGCAGAGUAUCCCCAGUAGUGGCUGGUUUGCCUGCGGUGGUGCCCUGUGGAAGCGGGUGUGGGCGCAGGACUCAGUGGGCCCAUGGUGGGUGCCGACAGCGGGAACUGCCAGAGUCUGCACUGCCAGGCUUGUUAUCUGAGUGGAUCUCAACUACAGCUUCUACCACAGGUUAAUAAAACCAGGUGUGUUUCCAAUGCUGCUUUUAAUUUUCUUUCUAAAAAUGGCAUUUGUUUUAUUUUCUCUUGCUCCAGAAAAGCUCCCAGUACAGAUCCUCUCUUUGAGAAUAGGAAUAGGUUCUGUAGAGGGCUCUAGCUCGGCACAUCUCAGCUAGCGGUCAGCUUGCUUUGGGAUCUUCUGCUUUGAAAGAUUCCAGGCCGGGAGGAAGAAUCAGUUGCUCGAGCUGCAGACCUCCUGUAAGAGAACUUAAAAGUGGAGAGUUAAAGUGAAUCAUUUUGUUAGAGCUUUAUAAAAAGAAAAUGCAAGGAAAAAAAUGAAAUCAUAUAAAUAAUAUCUGUUAGAGUUAGAUCCUUGGGGAAUUUCUAGGAACUAGUUCUAGUUACAUUUUUUUCCUUUAAGAUACUUUAAAGGAACAUGGACUCUUCAGAAUAGAAAAGAAGAAAUGCGUUAAUAAGAAUGCAAGCAUCUAUAUUUUUGGCAUAAGCACUCAUGUCCCACAUAGUGUAGAAAUUCAAAGGAGAUAGUUAAUAACUUUUAGUAAGUAAUGCAGAGUGGCAUUUAGUGAUGUGGAGGGCUAAGGUCAUUAAAGACUUUAAAUGAACUAUUAUAUGGCUGGUUCCUCAAGCACUGCUGCGUAUUUAAUAACGAGCUUCUAAAAGCAUUUCUUAAGUUGCAGACCUAUAAGAUUACAAAUGUCACUCAUGUUAGUAUAAUCCACAUGCAAGUGAUGAAGUCUUCCCUUUGAUGUGCUAAAUUGGAGAAGGACUAAUGGAGCUAUGAAUAUACAAUAGAACAUAUUUAAGUAGUAGUCUUGCUUUAGGUAAAACACUUUCCUGAAACCAGAGGCAUUUCAAACAAUAAAACCCAGCUCUAAUGGGGAUGCUCUGUGUGGAUAGAAAGCUACUCAAAACACUCAGGUUUAUUCUGAUGUGAGCAGUGAUUGUGUUCCUCCCCUAACCCCAACAUUGCUUAGGCAAAAAAAAAAAAAAAAUCCGCGAGCUUGUUCACCUUUCAUCCGUUGCAUUUGUGAUGCUAGUGAGAUGUACUCUGUUCUUUUGAAAGGACUUACUUAAUAUUAACCACGUCAUAGAGCAAGAUGGCCCCCAGUCUCUACAAGUAAGUGCAAUUAAAAAUAAAAGCAAAUGUUACUGAGACCUGCUAAACUCCUAAUAAAAAAAAAUGUUUAUGAUACAUAUAAAUGACUCAAUCAUGCAAAUUGUCACUCUUGCUAAUGAAACAAUUUUGUAAAAAGAUUGUCCUCUGCAAGGGCUUAAUGUUUUUUACCUAUCUGUCUAGUUCGAUUUACACAUCCCGAAAGGCAGGGGAACCCGCACGAAGCCUUUCCAGACCACACCGUUUGCCGCAAGACACUAUUUCCCACUCUUCCUGAUUUAUUAGGAAAGAGUUUAACAUGGACUGUAGUGUCUUAUAAAAUGAGAAAACUGUCACACCGAAAUUAAGCCUGUGAAAUUGUCAUCCUCUUAAUAUUAACUGUAUUUAACUUUUCUUUUGCUCGUAUUAACAUUGAUAUUUGGAACAACUAACUAGUCAUUAGAAAUGAAGCUGUUAAAUGGCUUUAAAUGUCAAUAUAGUAAGAUUCUAAUGUGCACUACUAUUUAUAUAAAAUAUUUCUUAAGCCCAAUGAAUUAUAUAACAAACAAUGAAUCCAAGACUUAUGUAUCAAGAGACUAGUGAAGAGUUUCCGUGUAGCCUAAGUAAUUGUAUUGAGAAGAGGUUUUUCCAAAAAGACACCUUUGCCCGGGAAUUACAUCCUGGGUGCUGAUGCGCCUAUGACUGAGAGGCCCUUUGGAAACAGACAAGUAACAAGUUGAUGUUACUUGUCGCUUUGUUACUAAGACCUAUUGUCAGUCCACUCAAGUCACAGAAAUGCUUAUUGCAGUUAAAUAGCAAUUUGUUUCCAUGAAACUGCAAUUAAAGUAUUACUGAGCAGCCAUUUUAGAUUGGCAAUGCUCUAAACGCAUUUUAAACAGCCAGCAGCAACUCCCACUUGCAGAGUCUGGGAUCUGACUAGCAGCAAAGUGUAACACAUUCACCCAUGUUGGGUAUCUAGUUAAGAGGCGUCUGUAGCCCUCUGCUCCCAUCGUGAACAUGCUGAGAGCAAUGACAAGACAGGGCUGGUUUUUGGAAGGUGAACUUGCAACUUACCUCAUGUGAAUACUAUUUUCAGUUGUUCAAGAAGUGCUUUAUGCUAGUAGAUCUGUGCAUGUUACCUAGAGGGAAUGUUUUCAAGUUCAGAUUGAUUCUGCUGAGAAUGGACUGCAAUUCGGAGGCCUCAAGCCAAUAAUGUACUACAGGUCCUGACAUGUUACAGCUGUGUAAACAGGGCCAUUCUAUCUCCUAAAUCACAACUAAUAAAGCAUAGGAUGAAAAUCAAUUGAUUCUGUUAUAAGUUCUUUGAAUGACACUGGAAAGUUGUUUAAUGACUCUCCGUUAGAACGAACAAGCCUGAGUUGAGCCGCC